GCCCGGGUAGCUCAGUUGGUAGAGCAGAGGACUGAAAAUCCUCGUGUCACUGGUUCAAUUCCGGUCCCGGGCACCA
This 76-nucleotide transfer RNA is filed under the name Nitrospinota bacterium. RNAcentral describes it as "tRNA-Phe". It matches the Rfam family "tRNA". Rfam says of the family: Transfer RNA (tRNA) molecules are approximately 80 nucleotides in length. Their secondary structure includes four short double-helical elements and three loops (D, anti-codon, and T loops). Lineage: Bacteria; Pseudomonadati; Nitrospinota. The record is from RNAcentral.